RNAcentral lists this ribosomal RNA (435 nucleotides) under uncultured bacterium. Its description in RNAcentral is "partial 16S ribosomal RNA". It matches the Rfam family "Bacterial small subunit ribosomal RNA", at positions 29 to 507 of the family's 1533-position model. The record is from RNAcentral.
AACGAACGCUGGCGGCAGGCUUAACACAUGCAAGUCGAACGCAUGCAUUCGGGCAUGAGUGGCAGACGGGUGGGGAACGCGUGGGAACCUACCCAUUGGUACGGGAUAGCUCCGGGAAACUGGAGAUAAUACCGUAUGUGUCCUGAGGGACAAAGAUUCAUCGCCAAGGGAUGGGCCCGCGUCGGAUUAGCUAGUUGGUGGGGUAACGGCCUACCAAGGCGACGAUUCGUAGCUGGUCUAAGAGGAUGAUCAGCCACAUUGGGACUGAGACACGGCCCAAACUCCUACGGAAGGCAGCAGUGGGGAAUAUUGGACAAUGGGCGCAAUCCUGAUCCAGCCAUGCCGCGUGAGUGAUUAAGUCCCUAGGGUUGUAAAGCUCUUUCACCGGUGACGAUAAUGACGGUAACCGGAGAAGAAGCCCCGGCUAACUUCGUG